GACGAACGCUGGCGGCGUGCCUAAUACAUGCAAGUCGAGCGAAGUUUUUCUGGUGCUUGCACUAGAAAAACUUAGCGGCGAACGGGUGAGUAACACGUAAAGAACCUGCCUCAUAGACUGGGACAACUAUUGGAAACGAUAGCUAAUACCGGAUAACAGUAUUUCUCGCAAGAGAGAUAUUUAAAAGUUGGUUAUGCUAACACUAUGAGAUGGCUUUGCGGUGCAUUAGCUAGUUGGUGGGGUAAAGGCCCACCAAGGCGACGAUGCAUAGCCGACCUGAGAGGGUGAUCGGCCACACUGGGACUGAGACACGGCCCAGACUCCUACGGGAGGCAGCAGUAGGGAAUCUUCCGCAAUGGGCGAAAGCCUGACGGAGCAACGCCGCGUGAGUGAAGAAGGAUUUCGGUUCGUAAAGCUCUGUUGUUAGGGAAGAAUGGAUAUGUAGUAACUCUACAUGUAAGAGACGGUACCUAACCAGAAAGCCACGGCUAACUACGUG
Molecule: ribosomal RNA, 499 nt
Filed under: uncultured bacterium
Lineage: Bacteria
Description: partial 16S ribosomal RNA
Rfam family: Bacterial small subunit ribosomal RNA
Source: RNAcentral